CCUACGGGAGGCAGCAGUGAGGAAUAUUGCACAAUGGGGGGAACCCUGAUGCAGCAACGCCGCGUGGAGGAUGACGCAUUUCGGUGUGUAAACUCCUUUUAUAUGUCAAGAAAAUGACGGUAGCAUAUGAAUAAGCACCGGCUAACUCCGUGCCAGCAGCCGCGGUAAUACGGAGGGUGCAAGCGUUACUCGGAAUCACUGGGCGUAAAGGACGCGUAGGCUGUUUUGCAAGUCAGAUGUGGAAUCCAAUGGCUCAACCAUUGAACUGCAUUUGAAACUGCUAGACUAGAGUAUGGGAGGGGGAGAUGGAAUUAGUGGUGUAGGGGUAAAAUCCGUAGAUAUCACUAGGAAUACCUAAAGCGAAGGCGAUCUCCUGGAACAUUACUGACGCUAAGGCGUGAAAGCGUGGGGAGCAAACAGGAUUAGAUACCCUGGUAGUCCACGCCCUAAACGAUGAACACUAGUCGUCGGGAUGCUUGUCAUCUCGGUGAUGCACUUAACAGGUUAAGUGUUCCGCCUGGGGAGUACGGUCGCAAGAUUAAAACUCAAAGGAAUAGACGGGGACCCGCACAAGUGGUGGAGCAUGUGGUUUAAUUCGAAGAUACGCGAAAAACCUUACCUGGCCUUGACAUUGAUAGAAUCCUGUAGAGAUACGGGAGUGCCCUUCGGGGAGCUUGAAAACAGGUGCUGCACGGCUGUCGUCAGCUCGUGUCGUGAGAUGUUGGGUUAAGUCCCGCAACGAGCGCAACCCUCGUCCUUAGUUGCCAGCAGGUUAAGCUGGGCACUCUAGGGAGACUGCCUUCGCAAGGAGGAGGAAGGUGAGGACGACGUCAAGUCAUCAUGGCCCUUACGGCCAGGGCUACACACGUGCUACAAUGGGGCGUACAGAGUGUUGCAAUACCGCGAGGUGGAGCCAAUCACUUAAAGCGUCUCUCAGUUCGGAUUGUUCUCUGCAACUCGAGAGCAUGAAGCUGGAAUCACUAGUAAUCGUAGAUCAGCAUUGCUACGGUGAAUACGUUCCCGGGUCUUGUACUCACCGCCCGU
This 1044-nucleotide ribosomal RNA is filed under the name uncultured bacterium. RNAcentral describes it as "bacterial SSU rRNA". It matches the Rfam family "Bacterial small subunit ribosomal RNA", at positions 338 to 1397 of the family's 1533-position model. The record is from RNAcentral.